GAGUGAUCGAAAGAUGAAAAGCACUUUGAAAAGAGAGUCAAACAGCACGUGAAAUUGUUGAAAGGGAAGCGUUGGCCCCCAGACGCGCCCGGGAGGGCUCAGCCGGCACGUGUGCCGGUGUACUCUCUCCCGGGCGGGCCAGCAUCGGUUUGGGCGGUCGCUGAAAGGCCCCGGGAAUGUAGCACCCUCCGGGGUGCCUUAUAGCCCGGGGCGGCAUGCGGCCCGCCGGGACCGAGGCCCGCGCUUCGGCGAGGAUGCUGGCGUAAUGGGGGUUKWCGGC
RNAcentral lists this ribosomal RNA (280 nucleotides) under Talaromyces ruber. RNAcentral describes it as "partial large subunit ribosomal RNA". It matches the Rfam family "Eukaryotic large subunit ribosomal RNA", at positions 351 to 648 of the family's 3401-position model. The record is from RNAcentral. Lineage: Eukaryota; Fungi; Ascomycota; Eurotiomycetes; Eurotiales; Trichocomaceae.